Long non-coding RNA from Aquila chrysaetos chrysaetos, 2030 nucleotides. RefSeq lists it as uncharacterized. The transcript is spliced from 5 exons. NCBI's taxonomy places the organism in Eukaryota, Metazoa, Chordata, Aves, Accipitriformes, Accipitridae. The record is from RefSeq and is a predicted model, not a curated record.
GCUGACUGCCCGCCUCCGCCUCCUCCUCCUCCUGCCCGGGGACUUCCCGAGCUCCGCCGGUUCCCGCCCACCGGCGGCAGGGGCUGGCUGCCAGCCUCCCUCAGGCUGCCGGGCCUGCCGUCCCAGCGCCCUCGCCCUCAGCCGGGCCCUUAGCGUCUCCCUGCCCUCACGCACCCCGUCGGCGUUUCCCGCCCUGAGGAGCCCAGGGCCGGCCAGCCGAGCGGGGAUUUAGGAUGGGGUUUGCUGUGGGGAUGUAGCCCGUUAAUGGCUGUCGAAGGACACGGUUGGAUGCAGCGUCUGGGCCGGGAUGUCCUUCGAGGCCUGGUUCUCGGGGUUGGCGCUGGUUGGGGCGGUCGCAGGGCUUAGUGACUGUCCUUAGCAGGGCGCUGGGCUGGAAUUGCCUCGCGGUGCCUGCUCUGAGGAAUUGUGAACUGUCUGCUGUUUAAUGAAAUCGUGCCUUUCUGCGGACUGGUAUCCUCAGCUGCCCUCCGAGCGCUGCUGCCAGGGACUCCCCAGCACAAGAAGGGAGAUGCACGGAUCCCUCUCCAGACGCACCCAGCUCGAGCUGUCCUAUACUGCUGUACCGCUCAAUGAAUUUGUCUGAUGUAUGUCGUGUCAGAGACUCUUCUUCAGGAAAGCUAGAGUUGAGCCUGAGGGAAGAGGAGACACCCGAGGGUCGUGGGUAACAUGCAGGAGCAGAGUGUGUUGGGUCUGUGAAGGAAGGAGACUUCUGUUCUAACUCCUGUCUCAGCGUUGCCUUGCUUCUGACUGAUGCUGUGGUAGCUGCUGGAAACUCCUGAUUUUGGCCAGGAUCCCAUAGAUACUGUACAGACGUAGCCCAAAGACUGACUUCUCUCUCAGGACACUAUGAAUAUACACGACACCAGUCUGGAUUGCUUCCUCUGAGCAGCUCAGGUUCCUAAAGGAGCUUUGCUUUAUUCUGUCCACAGAGGUAUCCACAGGUCUGUGGAAGGACUACUACCCUUGAUUAAUACCUGGGCUUCUUGCCAAUGCAAAUGCUGGAGUGUUUGCUGUGACUUCAGAUUUGCUGAUUAAGCUUAAUUUCCAAGUGACAGGUAAUUUGAAAACACCGUAAAAGAUAUGUUCUUUCAGGCUUUGAGCAGACUAAGUGGGGGAGAGGGGAUGUUACGAAGUGCAUCCAACUUCUGCAGUCAGCAGCACUGUGUGAUGAAUGUCACCAUAACCUAGAGAGAAGUAAGAUAAUGAAAUGCUUUCAUUUCUUCUGACAGUUAAAUGCUAACAUGGCCUGGAGAGGGCUCAGAGCCAGCUGGUAAAAUUACAUUAAACAGUGUCAGGCCUUAGAUUAUCAUCUACAGUAAGACAACUACAAAGAGCAUGAAAGUCACAUGUAUGAUCUGAAUGUUUAUCUGCCAUUAACAGAUGGUAUGUUCAAUCUGAGUUCACCAUGGAUUUUUGAUUAUCAGUCCAAUAAUGAACCUAUUUCUAUUAAUAACUGUUAUUACCUUCAAAGGGAGAAUCAUCAAAUGCAAAGUCCAGGAAGCCAAAAGAUGACAGAAAUAAAAUAGUAGAAAAAAGUGACCCAAGAUCAUGGUUUUAGUCUGAUAACCCUGUUGUGGGCAGGAUAUGUGAAGCAAAGGUAGUGCCAAAGAAUGUAUCUAACUAAUUGCUUUUGGCCCAUUCCGUGCCGUUUAAUACAGUGUGUCAUGUACCACUUUCCCUCCCACAUACAGCUGAAUCGAUAACUUCUUUUACAACUGCAAUUAUAUAACAUCUCUGUGCAAUGACAUAGAAAAGUAAAAAUAGUACCUCUCACACAGCUCUUAGAUGAUCUAAUUUGGAGCUUGCUCGUAUGUAGAGAAAUUUGUAUGUAACGCUUUUUCUUUUCAGCUUUUUCCAUCCUCAAAUGAGUUGCAGUUUGAUUGUGCCGAAUUGCUGGAAUUCCUCACUAUCAGCUCUGAUUUCUUUCUUGAAACAAACUCAUUCUGUCACCAGCCAAAAAUAUUAUCUGUAAUCUUUUUUUUCUAAUAAAUUUGGUGAUUGGAGUCAAA